RNAcentral lists this unclassified non-coding RNA (211 nucleotides) under plant metagenome. RNAcentral describes it as "partial contains small subunit ribosomal RNA and internal transcribed spacer 1". The stretch from base 1 to 47 matches the Rfam family "Eukaryotic small subunit ribosomal RNA", at positions 1786 to 1831 of the family's 1831-position model. The record is from RNAcentral.
AAGUCGUAACAAGGUCUCCGUAGGUGAACCUGCGGAGGGGAUCAUUCAAGCUCAUGCCCUAACGGGUAGAUCUCCCCACCCUAUGUUAUCAUUACCAUGUUGCUUUGGCGGGCCGUCAGGCUCACGCUCGGCUACCGGCUCCGGCUGGUAAGCGCCCGCCAGAGGACCAACCCUGAAUAUUCGUGUCGCGAGUAUCAUAUAAUAGUUAAAA